Molecule: ribosomal RNA, 497 nt
Filed under: uncultured bacterium
Lineage: Bacteria
Description: partial 16S ribosomal RNA
Rfam family: Bacterial small subunit ribosomal RNA
Source: RNAcentral
GAUGAACGCUGGCGGCGUGCCUAAUACAUGCAAGUCGAGCGAACAGACGAGGAGCUUGCUCCUCUGACGUUAGCGGCGGACGGGUGAGUAACACGUGGAUAACCUACCUAUAAGACUGGGAUAACUUCGGGAAACCGGAGCUAAUACCGGAUAAUAUAUUGAGCCGCAUGGUUCAAUAGUGAAAGACGGUUUUGCUGUCACUUAUAGAUGGAUCCGCGCCGCAUUAGCUAGUUGGUAAGGUAACGGCUUACCAAGGCAACGAUGCGUAGCCGACCUGAGAGGAUGAUCGGCCACACUGGAACUGAGACACGGUCCAGACUCCUACGGGAGGCAGCAGUAGGGAAUCUUCCGCAAUGGGCGAAAGCCUGACGGAGCAACGCCGCGUGAGUGAUGAAGGUCUUCGGAUCGUAAAACUCUGUUAUUAGGGAAGAACAAAUGUGUAAGUAACUAUGCACGUCUUGACGGUACCUAAUCAGAAAGCCACGGCUAACUACGUG